RNAcentral lists this small nucleolar RNA (138 nucleotides) under Ornithorhynchus anatinus (platypus). The record is from RNAcentral. Lineage: Eukaryota; Metazoa; Chordata; Mammalia; Monotremata; Ornithorhynchidae.
CUCCUCUCAGGGUCACACUUGGAGAGUUGCAGGUACUCUACCAGUCUCAACUACAGGAGGAAGAGUCAAGCAGAGGCCUACCCAUUCCAUUCCUAGAUUGGCCAGUGGCUAGUGAGUGGAAGGCAAUCUGCUAAAAGU